RNAcentral lists this transfer RNA (73 nucleotides) under Stegodyphus mimosarum. It matches the Rfam family "tRNA". From Rfam's summary of the family: Transfer RNA (tRNA) molecules are approximately 80 nucleotides in length. Their secondary structure includes four short double-helical elements and three loops (D, anti-codon, and T loops). Further hydrogen bonds mediate the characteristic L-shaped molecular structure. tRNAs have two regions of fundamental functional importance: the anti-codon, which is responsible for specific mRNA codon recognition, and the 3' end, to which the tRNAs corresponding amino acid is attached (by aminoacyl-tRNA synthetases). tRNAs cope with the degeneracy of the genetic code in two manners: having more than one tRNA (with a specific anti-codon) for a particular amino acid; and 'wobble' base-pairing, i.e. permitting non-standard base-pairing at the 3rd anti-codon position. Lineage: Eukaryota; Metazoa; Arthropoda; Arachnida; Araneae; Eresidae. The record is from Rfam by way of RNAcentral.
GCCUUCGUAGUGUAGUGGUCAGCACGCUCGACGCGUAACCGAGAGGUCCGUGGUUCGAUUCCUGGCGAAGCCG